UUCUUCACUGUGGAAGAUCAAAGGAUGAUGAUUUAGAAUGUGACAUGCUGUAUAAAGGAGGGGUCACACCAGCUUGGCAAAGCCCUCCUCCCUCCCUUAGGACCAAGCACUAAAGCCAAGUGGAUUGCCCUUCUCUACCCCGUACCCCAGUUUCCAAACAUGCUUCUCCCAGAGCAUCUGCCCUCAGGUUAGAAGGAACACUGGGCUCAUAUAUGGUCCUUCUUCAAUCCUAUAUCUGAGCCUGGGUCCAGAGUAAGCCCGUGUAUGUGUUACCUGUGUGCUGCCUGAGUGGCCCUGCCUUACCUAUCUGGUUCCCAUGUGAAUUGCCCAUGGGUGUGACUUAGGGACUGCCAAUGUGUGUUACAUAGGUAUGGCCUACAUGCGUAAUGCUGUGUGUCACCUGUGAGUGCCAUAUGUGUGCUGUUUCCUUGUGUUUGAUGUGCUGCCUGUGUGUGCUGGCUGUGACUGUAUCACCUGUGAGUGCUUCCUGUGCACUGGUGUCUGUUAUCUUUGUAUGUGGUUUGUUACAUUUAUGCUGAUGUAUGUUAAAUCUGUGUUACCUGACCACCACAUGCUCCCCUGUGCUACUUGGUAUGUGUGUGUGUGUGCGUGUGUGAUGUCUAUAUGUGUAUCAUCUGGCUGCAUUUCUUUGGGUGUUUUCCCAUGCAUUAUUCAUGUGUACUGACUAUAUGUCACCUGAAUUUGCUGCCUCUGUGUGUCACCCGUUUGUGUGCAGCCUGCACGUGCACUCACUUGGGUGGGUCACUCGUGUGGUGUGUUAGUGUCAUAGUGUGGGCUUCUCCUGUGUGUUGUGCCAUCACCUGUGUCCACGUUGCCCAUGUUACUGAAUGUAUCACCAUCUUUUGUCACUUGUACAUGUCACUUGCGUGUGUUGGUGCUUGUUUGUGUUGCUGUGUGAGUCUCUUUGUAUCCUCUCCUGUGUGUCACCGGUCCAUGCAUGCUGCGGAGGUGUGAUUCCUGUGCAUGUCCUCUGUGACCUGUGUGUGCCACCCCAUGUUUGCUGUGCUUCUGUGCUCUGUGUUAACAGUUUCAUGUUUCUCCAUGUGAGCUACUGAUCUCAUUUUGUGGGUUAUUUGCCUAUACUGGCUGUAUGGCGGUGUCUGUGUGGUGACGUCUGUCUCAUGAGCCUCACUUGUGUGUUUUGCCAUCACAAUUUGUACCCCGAUGUGAUGUCUGGGUUUCAUCCAGGCGUGGGGCCUCGUGAAUACCCACGUGUUCCUACCACCCUUCCCGCUACUAUGGCGAGAGGGGCAGGCAGAGACGAAGGCUGGCAGGAGACUCCUGGGAACUCCGGGUCCUCAAGCUGUUUCCGACAGGGCCCUCCGGGCCACGGGAAGAGCCGGCCGCUGUCCUCGCCGGGACCAGGACUGCAUCUCCUCACCUGUCCCUGGGCCCCUCCUUCUGCUGGUCAGGACCCUCGGGAGUGAGCCUGAACCACUCGCCCUCCAACCAGGGGACGUCGGAGGCCCGGCUUGGGCGGCUCCCCUACUGCCCAGGUAGCGAGUGCAGUGGGCCUUCUGUGGACUCUGCCCCACCUGACCCUGUCCCUCUGUCUGCCGCCGACAUACAAGGGGACAGCGGGCUCCACGGGCUUGGGGCUGGCAUCGAGGCUCGGUUGGCCCAGGGUCACCCGCGCUGUCCUGAGGCCCCUCGUGCUCCUGAUGCCCGCGCUUUCCCGGCUCCUUUCACAGCCAGGGAAACUGAGGCCAUGAGCCCAGGCUCAGGACGGCAGAGGGGGAAGAGGCGAGAUCCGGGUUCUGGAUCCUGAUCCGGCUUUGUGUGGAUCGGGCUGGAAGCCACAGAAAUCCUCAAAUGAGCUCAAGGAAAUAAAAGCGAGGAGGAGACCUGGCCCUGGCAACUGCUGCAGUACAAGUCUGGCUGCAGGCUCGGCUGGAUCCAGGGCUCCAGUGAUGUUUUUUUCCAUCUCAGAUCUGGACCUUCUGCUCUGAAGGCAUCUCAGAUCGGGGCUGCUCUGGCCCCACUAAUGACCCAAUCUAGGGCCUGUGCCCCUCAGACUGCCCCUUAGGGGCCCCAUCAAUAGGACAAGAUGGAGGCUACAGUCUCUUCCAGUUCCUCUCACAUGAGAGGCUCUUCGGCUAUCCCUGAGGCAAGGCCUGGCAUGCACUCUGAUUGGACUGGCUGGGCCAUGUGGCCAGCCCUGCACCAAUCACUGGUCCAGAGUACAACCAGUGAAAGUGUAAGAGCCUUUCCCAUUGGCCAGGGAACAAACCCUGAUGCUCACAGUGAUUGGACUUGCUCAGGCCAUGUGACCAGCCCCGCACCAAUCACAGAACCAGAAUACAGUGGUUUCCAACCACACCCGGGGCUAGAGGCCGCUCCAUAGACCAAGGACAUCCGUGGGGGUCCCAGGGUCCCAGCCAGGGGUGGGCGGGCUCCUGAGUGAAACUCGGGUGGUCCUGGAAAGAGGGGGCGAGACCCUCCGUGUAUCUGGAGUCUGUGCCCCAAGGCCCCACGUGGGGACUGGGAACGAAGAGAGAGGAUGCUGUCGGGGGCUCAGCCUCCUCACACCUGCCCGGGCACCAGGCACGGCCUUCAGGCCUCCGGGACGGUCCUGGUGGGGCUCGGCCCCCCUCGUCCUGCGCCUCCUCUGGGCCCGCGGGUCCCCAGCUCCCCCAGCCCCGCCGCGGGCCGCACCUCUCUGGACGGCGCUGUCAGGAGUAGGAGUUCAGCCCCAGCGCAUCCGCGCCAGGACCCGGGCUCUGUGGCCACUGAGUGCAGAACACGCCGAGCUUCGGAGGUCUGGGAGUUCCAAGUGGAAUUUGAAUUUUUAAUCUAAUUGUCUGAUUCGUGAACUCGGAAGCUGACGUCACGCCCAGACGUCCCAAGGUAUGAGCUGUAGAUACGCACGUGAGCGCUGGUGGGAGACGCCAGGCUGGGAUUUCCGCUCGAUCUGGGAAUGAGCAAUGCAACCUAAUGACACCCAGAGCUCCUGAAUCACCCGAGGAAAAUGACGAGAGACUCCCUCCGGUGGGAACGUCUCCUAGAAACAAGGCCUAAGAUGGGGCGACAACAGCCCCACAGCUGUGUCCAGAUGCAGGGAGCACUCGCCUGUGCUGUGAGGGACGGCCGGUGUCAUCGUUGGAGCUUCCUAAGAGUCCCAGAGGCUGAUGCACCUCCCAGACUCUCCUCGGCCCGGCUCCCUGGGCCCUGCUCCAGGGGCUUCAUUGCUCCCUGCCCCGGGUCACCCCUCGGCUCACCGUCUCUCAGGUGUGGAAUAUCCUGCUCCAAUCAAAGCCAUGUCACCUGCGUUGUCCAGUGAAACAUCAGUGGACAGGCGCUGCCCGGGCUCCAGGGAGCUCCUCACUGAGGCUCACUCCCUGUGCCUCUGCCAUCAGCACAGGGGGACAUGCCUGGCUGCCUGUGGGACCAGGGAGGACGCGCGGUGCGGGAGCAGAGCCAGCCACACUGCCGCUGCUGCACUGUUCAUCUGAGUGGCGCAAGGGCAAGGAGAGGACCGUGCAUCCUCAGUGACAGUGGUGCCUCACCAUGCUUUAGAGAAGCCUGUCCUUGCCCCCGAGCUGCUCUCCAUGGAGUCCUGUUUGCGCACCGGAGGUCCCUGUGAAGGAGCGUCCAUCAGGUCUGGACGUGCACCUGACCUCGCUGACUGAGAACGUGGUGACUAAGGUGACUAAUGCUCCAUUACUUCUGCGUCUGAUACCCAGGUCCAUGCAGGCUUCUCUGGCCUCUGUCCUUGGAUCCUUAAAUUAAUCCAAGGAUGCAGCAGUUGGGGCCUCACUGGAGAACUCGUGUAUUUACCACACAGGAGACUGAGGCAGGGAGUGGGUUACGGAGGGGACGGGAGAGCUGAGAAGUCAGAUGGGGGCUGGGAGGCAACUCAGAGGCCAGGAGAGAAGGCGGCGGCUCCAUCCCUGGGCUGGAGCGGGGUGGGUGGUGCUGGCGGAGCCCAGGGCUGGGGUCUCUGGGGAAGCUGGACCCACAGCAGCCUCGGUGUGCAGGAACGACGUGCGCAGCAGGCCGGAGGCUGCCUGAUUCUGACGCGUGUUCAUGGAGGCCCGUGUGCAGCGAUGAGCCCCAGCCAGCAUCCGGGUGAUCCCCAGCCAGCAUCCGGGUGAUCCCCAGCCAGCAUCCGGGUAAUCCCCAGCCAGCAUCCGGGUGAUCCCCAGCCAGCAUCCGGGAACUUGGCUUUUGGAACGUUUCCUGAGUGACUGGUUGACCAGGUCGUUUGUGCACUCAGGGAACUAAGCCGUUCCCUACCAGCUGCCUGGACUCUGCAGUGUGAUCAGCGCACGCCUGACUUCUGUCACCACAGUGGCUGCACAGGCAGAGGGUGCCUAUGUGACCAGCCCCCUGUAGAAGCCCCGCACUCGGAGACCUACACGGCCUCCCUGGGAAGCGACACUCUGGAUGUGUUGCUGACUUGGUUGCUGGAGCAAGACGCGUGUUUGGUGGACUCCCCUGGGUCUUUCUCCCCUGCUGAUCUUGCUACGUGGCCUUUCUCUGUAAUAAGCCAUGGAGUCCACUCUCUAAUCACGCAGUGUGUGGUGGCCCCAGGACCCCUGAGACGUGGAGCUGGCAGGGAAGACAGGCAGCUGCCCGAGGCGCUUGAGGCAGAGAAGGAUGGGGAAUAGCCUGGCUCCUCCCCGCCCCCCAUCACCCACCAGGGCCUCUCACUGUCUGAGCUCAGCCUGAGGCUAGCUGACCAGGGGUGUGGGAAGCCCAACUCUACAAAUUCGCAGCAGAUCAGCCCCCAACCCCCACAAAUUCCCAGCAGAUCAGGAAGGGCGGGGCAUGGAUGAAAGGGCAUCAGGGCCACAGGCCCAGGACAGGCACGUGGGUUGCUCUUGGAGGCAUUUGCAGGUACACUAAGAAGCUCCAGGAAGGACACACACACACACAUAUACACACACAUACACAUACAUAUGCACACACAUACAUACACAGACACACACACACACGUACACAGACACACAGACACACAUACACACACACAUUCCCCUGCCCUCCCAUCUCCAGACCUUGCGGUCCCCAUGAGCUUCCCGAUUCCUGGCACUGCCGGGCUGUCCUGAAGGCUCUUUUGGCCAGAAAUGGGCAGGGAUCUGAGAGCACCUGCUGUCGGGUGAGUCCUACUGUACUCAUGUCAGAGAUUAGGACGAGAAGACACAGGAGUGAGCUGGGCUGGAGUCUCAGCUGCAGAUGACAAGGAGAGCACAGUGGAAAGCCUGGCCCACCUCCCCUCCCCACUGGGCCCCUGGGUGGGAUACCACCAUUUCCAGAAUGGGCUGUGGGUUGCGCGGGCUCCUGAGGUUCGCUGAACCGGGGCUCUGAGGGGUCCCCAAAGUGCUUCCUCCCUGUCCUGUGCCCCCACCCCAUGGGGUGGAAGAGCCGCCCACAGGCCUGGGUUCCGCCAUGCACAAGGGAACUGGACCUUGGUGACUAUUCAGGAGGGAGUCUCCGGGCUGCCCUUCCCAUGACCACAUGUCAAUCCCCUUUGGCCCCAAGGGAAUUUCUCAUAACCCUCCCUUGGAGGAGCCCCCUCGGUGCCAGCCCACCCUCAUCACUCUCUCCUGAACCCCCAUGAACAGACUCCGUGGCGCCUCCACCUGCCUUUGUCCCGCCAACCCUCCCUGUCCAGAGCAGCCAUGGGGCCUCUUACAGUUUUAAGUCUGUCUGCAUCACGCGUUUCCUCAGAGUCUCCUCAGGCUGGGUGAGUCCUCGUCCUAAUAGGCCCUGACUGCCUGGCGCUGCCUACCUCUCCUGCCUCAGCAGGAGCUGCCCACACCUGUCCUCAGCCAACCAAGCUCCUAACCGUCGGGGAUCCUGGGACUCGGGCCUGCCUUUGCUGGACACUUCCGUCAGAUUUCUACCUGGCCACGUUCCACUCUUUCUUAAGGAUUCUGCUUAAAAGUCACGUCCUCUAAGGCUCCUCGCUGGCCUUCCCCACCACAUUGAUGUCCAGAUGAAGAAACAAAAGUUCUGAGAGGUCUUCAGGAACUUGUAUAUAAUUACAGAGGUAAUAAGGAUUGGUUGGAAAUGAAACCAAGGGCUACCUCCUGUCCCCAAAGCUCAUGCUCUUAACCCCUUCACCAUGAGUUUCUGGUUCUAUUCCUAGACUCUAGGCAUCAUAUACUCCUGUUAAUACUUUCUGUCUUCAAGCAAGUCCAUUUACAUUUAUAUUAUAAAAGGUUAAAUUGUUCAUGAAUAUAGCUUCUAGAUUCAGACCACCUGGAUUCAAAUUUAGACUCCACAUAUACUGGCUGUGAGAUAUUGCCCAGUGUGCAUAAUCUUGCCAAGGCCUCAAUUUCUUCACUUAUAGUAUAGGGAAGACAGUAUGGCCUACCUAGUGACAAUGGAUGGUUGUGAGGAUUAAACGAGAUAAAUCAUGUAAAGCAUUUGCCUGACUCUUAUUAAGUGUUCAAUAAUACUCUCAUAGAGUGUAAACUCCUUUGAAAUUAGGCAUAAGACUUUAGGUAUAUAAAGAGCCUGAACAGAGAUGUACUUGAAUUCACGUCUUUAUAAAACACAAAAAUUAUUGCAACAAUCUUCAAAUAGUCUUCAAGCCUUCUCCACACAUUGUUGUAAUCUAUGUAAAGGAAAAUAAAAAAAUCUCAGCCAGGAGCGGUGGCUGAAGCCUGUAAUCCCAGCACUUUG
This 6651-nucleotide long non-coding RNA is filed under the name Homo sapiens (human). Its description in RNAcentral is "HSALNT0371838". The record is from RNAcentral. Lineage: Eukaryota; Metazoa; Chordata; Mammalia; Primates; Hominidae.